AUAUUAAUAAGCGGAGGAAAAGAAACCAACUAGGAUUGCCCUAGUAACGGCGAGUGAAGCGGCAACAGCUCAAAUUUAAAAUCUAGCUCUUUUAGAGUCCGAAUUGUAAUUUGUAGAGGGUGUUUCGGCGUAGACUAUAGUCUAAGUACCUGGAAUAGCAUGUUAGAGAGGGUGAGAACCCUAUCUUUAGCUAGUAGUUUGCGCUAUGUGAAACCCCUUUAACGAGUCGAGUUGUUUAGGAAUAUAGCUCUAAAUAGGAGGUAAAUUUCUUCUAAAGCUAAAUACUAGCUAGAGACCGAUAGCGCACAAGUA
This 312-nucleotide ribosomal RNA is filed under the name uncultured eukaryote. RNAcentral describes it as "partial large subunit ribosomal RNA". It matches the Rfam family "Eukaryotic large subunit ribosomal RNA", at positions 40 to 350 of the family's 3401-position model. The record is from RNAcentral.